UGGGGAAUCUUGGACAAUGGGCGCAAGCCUGAUCCAGCCAUGCCGCGUGAGUGAAGAAGGCCUUCGGGUUGUAAAGCUCUUUUACCAGGGACGAUAAUGACGGUACCUGGAGAAUAAGCCCCGGCAAACUUCGUGCCAGCAGCCGCGGUAAUACGAAGGGGGCUAGCGUUGUUCGGAAUUACUGGGCGUAAAGCGCACGUAGGCGGAUUGUUAAGUCAGAGGUGAAAUCCCGGAGCUCAACUUCGGAACUGCCUUUGAUACUGGCAAUCUAGAGUCCGGAAGAGGUUAGUGGAAUUCCCAGUGUAGAGGUGAAAUUCGUAGAUAUUGGGAAGAACACCAGUGGCGAAGGCGGCUAACUGGUCCGGUACUGACGCUGAGGUGCGAAAACGUGGGGAGCAAACAGGAUUAGAUACCCAUGUAGUCCCUGAGCGGGCUGGCAAGGCGCAU
Molecule: ribosomal RNA, 447 nt
Filed under: uncultured bacterium
Lineage: Bacteria
Description: bacterial SSU rRNA
Rfam family: Bacterial small subunit ribosomal RNA
Source: RNAcentral